This is a microRNA precursor of Oryza sativa Indica Group (long-grained rice), 181 nucleotides long. It matches the Rfam family "MIR812 microRNA precursor family". NCBI's taxonomy places the organism in Eukaryota, Viridiplantae, Streptophyta, Magnoliopsida, Poales, Poaceae. The record is from Rfam.
AAAAAAGACAACCCUUGAUUUCCAUAUCCAACGUUUGACUGUCCGUUUUAUAUGAAUUUUUUUUAUAAUUAGUAUUUUCAUUGUUAUUAGAUGAUAAAAUAUGACUUAUCUUUUUAAUUUUUUUAUAUUUUUUUCAAAUAAGACGGACGGUCAAACAUUGGACAUGGAAACCUAACCUAAG